AACAAUGAAAAACAUGCUUGCCCAGGAAUACUAGGGUUACACUUGUUUUUAAGGCAUAAUAUUCAGUCAUAAACGUUGGUUAAAGCGAUCCUUUAUGUUCCCACUUGUUAUUUGUGUCCUCCCAGCAGUCUUGAACGGGAUCCGGGCGACCUUCUCUCAUUGCGAGCUUCCUCUCUUUGUCCAUGUAAGCUCCUCUCACCAGUUUUACCCCCAGACAGAAACCUCCAUCCUUGGACUGAGCAAGGGCCUCCAGCAGGAGAGUCCGAGUCUCCUGAAACUGCUGUUCCUCGCACACCCCUGGUCCUAAUGGAGGAGGAUGAAGAGAGGCCUUCCUUACACACAGUUCAGGGCUGAGCAGCGCCGUGACCUUCAGCUGCAUCAUGGGAUCUUUGCUCCAGGCAUUGCUGUGUGACAUGCGCACGCAUUCUAACAUGGCCUCCAUGUUGUCGUUAUAUCGCUUCUCUCUGCAGAUCCUCCUCGAUGGGGACGGCCAGCAUGGGCCUCAGUCCCAGCAGGCUCAUCUUCUCCAUGGACUUGGAGAUCUCCUUCUCGUUCUCUCCGGCCACAAACUGAGCGUAGACUGUGGGCCUGAGCAGCAAGGAGAACAGGCGCCUACCCAGAAUGGUGCGAGCCACGGACAUCAGCUGCAAAGAGACAACAGGGGUCUCAUGUAAAGAGAUCUGUGUGGCUUUCCUACUAAAAAUAGAUGUUUUGCAGACCAUCAGACUGCAUGGCUCACCUUGUCACAGUUGUUCACCAAGACAGGGAAGGAGCAAAGGCGGAAUACACCCAGAGCACGUAUUAACUCGCCCGUGCUCUUCACCUGGAAUGCUCUGGGAUCCUCAAAGGCCAAAGAGGCGGCCAGGAGGUCAGGCGACUUGUCCGUAACCACCAUCCUGUGGGAGGCUGUGGCCAUAAGCCUCACAGAGAGACUGUACAGGCGUGAGCUGCGCAGGCAA
This is a long non-coding RNA of Entelurus aequoreus (snake pipefish), 959 nucleotides long. RefSeq lists it as uncharacterized. The transcript is spliced from 4 exons. The record is from RefSeq and is a predicted model, not a curated record. NCBI's taxonomy places the organism in Eukaryota, Metazoa, Chordata, Actinopteri, Syngnathiformes, Syngnathidae.